Molecule: ribosomal RNA, 425 nt
Filed under: uncultured Glomeromycotina
Lineage: Eukaryota; Fungi; Glomeromycota
Description: SSU rRNA
Rfam family: Eukaryotic small subunit ribosomal RNA
Source: RNAcentral
AUUGUCUGUACUGGUGAGAUGAGUCUCUACCUUCUGAGGAACUUUCAUGCCAUUCGUUUGGUGUGAUGGGAAAUCAGGACUGUUACUUUGAAAAAAUUAGAGUGUUUAAAGCAGGCUAACGUCUGAAUACAUUAGCAUGGAAUAAUGAAAUAGGACGGAUUGAUUCUAUUUCGUUGGUUUCUAGGGUCACCGUAAUGAUUAAUAGGGAUAGUUGGGGGCAUUAGUAUUCAAUUGUCAGAGGUGAAAUUCUUGGAUUUAUUGAAGACUAACUACUGCGAAAGCAUUUGCCAAGGAUGUUUUCAUUAAUCAAGAACGAAAGUUAGGGGAUCGAAGACGAUCAGAUACCGUCGUAGUCUUAACCAUAAACUAUGCCGACUAGGGAUCGGACGAAGUUAAUUUUAUAAUGACGCGUUCGGCACCUUACG